AUUGAACGCUGGCGGCAUGCCUUACACAUGCGAGUCGAACGGUAACAGGUCUUCGGAUGCUGACGAGUGGCGAACGGGUGAGUAAUACAUCGGAACGUGCCUAGUAGUGGGGGAUAACUACUCGAAAGAGUGGCUAAUACCGCAUGAGAUCUACGGAUGAAAGCAGGGGAUCGCAAGACCUUGUGCUACUAGAGCGGCCGAUGGCAGAUUAGGUAGUUGGUGGGAUAAAAGCUUACCAAGCCGACGAUCUGUAGCUGGUCUGAGAGGACGAUCAGCCACACUGGGACGGAGACACGGCCCAGACUCCUACGGGAGGCAGCAGUGGGGAAUUUUGGACAAUGGGCGAAAGCCUGAUCCAGCAAUGCCGCGUGCAGGAUGAAGGCCCUCGGGUUGUAAACUGCUUUUGUACGGAACGAAAAGCCCCGGGUUAAUACCCUGGGGUCAUGACGGUACCGUAAGAAUAAGCACCGGCUAACUACGUGCCAGCCGCCGCGGUAA
This 498-nucleotide ribosomal RNA is filed under the name uncultured bacterium. Its description in RNAcentral is "partial 16S ribosomal RNA". It matches the Rfam family "Bacterial small subunit ribosomal RNA", at positions 30 to 523 of the family's 1533-position model. The record is from RNAcentral.